This 406-nucleotide ribosomal RNA is filed under the name uncultured bacterium. RNAcentral describes it as "partial 16S ribosomal RNA". It matches the Rfam family "Bacterial small subunit ribosomal RNA", at positions 30 to 526 of the family's 1533-position model. The record is from RNAcentral.
AUUGAACGCUGGCGGCAGGCCUAACACAUGCAAGUCGAACGAGUGGCGGACGGGUGAGUCAUGUCUGUGAAACUGCCUGAUGGAGGGGGAUACCUACUGGAAACGGUAGCUAAUACCGCCUACCACCGCAUGUGCCCAGAGGGGAUUAGCUAGUAGGUGGGGUAAAGGCUCACCAAGGCGACGAUCCCUAGCUGGUCUGAGAGGAUGACCAGCCACACGGGAACUGAGACACGGUCCAGACUCCUACGGGAGGCAGCAGUGGGGAAUAUUGCACAAUGGGCGCAAGCCUGAUGCAGCCAUGCCGCGUGUAUGAAGAAGGCCUUCGGGUUGUAAAGUACUUUCAGCAGGGAGGCGUUACCCGCAGAAGAAGCACCGGCUAACUCCGUGCCAGCAGCCGCGGUAAUUC